UGACAAGAGUGGCUCCAGUUAAUCAGCAUGGUCUUAAGAUAAUAUCAUUGCUUAAGAUUGGCAAAAAGUUAUCUAUCAUCUUGAGACCAUGUUGAUUAACCGGAGUCCCUCUUGUC
RNAcentral lists this microRNA precursor (116 nucleotides) under Prunus dulcis (almond). RNAcentral's name for it is "sRNA ncRNA". Lineage: Eukaryota; Viridiplantae; Streptophyta; Magnoliopsida; Rosales; Rosaceae. The record is from RNAcentral.